This is a long non-coding RNA of Panthera uncia (snow leopard), 16656 nucleotides long. RefSeq lists it as uncharacterized. The transcript is spliced from 3 exons. Lineage: Eukaryota; Metazoa; Chordata; Mammalia; Carnivora; Felidae. The record is from RefSeq and is a predicted model, not a curated record.
ACGUUUCUAUUGACGUAUUGAUCUCCGCUAGGCGAGGAGCGUUUCUGCUGAACACGCUCACUGCUCAUUCUGGGGGCCGGAGGGCAGAGCUGACCUCAGCUCUUCAAGUGCCGGGGCUCGAGGGGCAGGCCCGAUGGGGGUGCCGUGGACAGGGGCCUCUAGUCUGGGGCGGGGAGGAGCCUCUCUGGCAUCGGGAUGGAGAUCUUGAUGGGAAGCGGGGAGACAGUUGUUUGGAGGGACAGAGGCGGGCAAAGCUGCGGCCGCCCUCGGGGGAACGGAGACACCAGGUGGCACAGAGACGCAGAUCGACCUUGGAGUCUUUCUAUCCAGCUCCAGAACUGAGUGAACACGUGUCCCCAUCUGCAAAGGGAGGCUUUUUUCUCCUCGCUCUUUAUGCGUACUUAAGAGGAGGCUUCAAAUAAUAUAGGGUUGUCCUUUAAAACCUGUAACAAAGCACACCAGAGGACUAACUAAGUGUAAGCUAUGGUUCCUCGUCACCGCCACCCAAGGACCUAUGAGGUAGCCAGCUAGCCAAGCAGGGUCUUGAGAGUAUGGUCCUCUCUCUGGCAUCUGGCCAGGAAGUAGCCACAGGUUCACAAAGUGGGUCCUUCAGGGGUCCAGGCGAGGCGCGUUUGUCUUUUGUAGUUCAAAGAGGCGUUCCAUAAAUGUUCUCCCUCGCUGUCCUCUCCAAACUGCCAGGGCUCCAUCCCAUCAUCCGUGUCGUGGAAUUUGGAGUCACCCUGGCAGAUCUCUGGUUUCUGCACGUACCCCACACCAAAGGCAACAUUCAGGCUGGUGAGUGGGGGACGUGCAGGGGGGACCAAAAGGGAGCUACUUCUUUGUCUUUAACUGGUCUUUGCUCCCUCGAAACAUUUCCUUUUUCCAUUUUUUUCCUGCCUGCUCAUAUGGACCUUACCCCCAACACCAUAGUCUCUCCACUCAAGGGGGAAUCAUCUGGCCCCGAGUGGGAUGGUGUUGAGCCAUUCCUUGGUGAUAAGAGUAAUGUAAGGAGACAUUACAUGAAUUCUGGCAUCAUGGAACAUUCGUGCAUACAACCCAGCAGGCUAUUAGCAGAUUGCUUGUCAGGAAAUGCAUGUUCUCAUCUUAGUGGAGUGGGAAAAAGGCAGGGCCCAGGGCCCACUUCCAGCUCUGCUACCAUGAGUGGGUGAGCAGUUACAUGCUGCAUCCAAGCUUUGGCUUCCUCCAGGUUGCAUUCCAGAACUUUCCCCGAGUCUCUUCUUUGGCUCAGACAUUCUAAGCUUUAAGAGCACCAGGAACCCUUUUUUUUUUUUUUAAUUUUUUCAAUGUUUGUUUUAUUUUUGAAGGAGAGGGAGACGGAGCAUGAGCGGGGGAAGAGCAGAGAGAGAGGGAGACACAGAAUCCGAAGCAGGCUCCAGGCUCUGAGCUGUCAGCACAGAGCCCGACGCAGGGCUCGAACUCACAAACUGUGAGAUCAUGACGUGAGCCGAAGUCGGACGCUCAACCGACUGAGCCACCCAGGUGCCCCCAGGAACCCAUUCUUAUAUUUCAGAUAAACUCCGUGAAGAAUCACUUCGUCAGAAUUACCCACAGAAUGACCCACUCAGCCCCCUGAGUGGGCAGGGUCGGAAAGAAAUCUGAGUGUAUCUACACUAUAUCCCUGUCAUAGUCCUGCACGCAGCCAUCCCCGAGAGCCAGGUGCAAGCCUAGAUGCUUCUGGUCACCCUCUGCUUCCUGGUGGCCUCCACCCCUGGUCUUGUAGAAUGAGCUGGGCUUUUUCCACACACUGGCACCCAUCAGGCACAUAGUUACCCACUGUACCCCUUGCCCCUUCUCCAUUUGAAAUGUCCUCAGGGUAACCUGAUGCAGCCACUUGGGAAGGAGGCCUCCCCAUGUGGCACUGUUGAGGCCCCCAACAUCCGGGUGUUCAUUUUCUCUGAACGCUUAGCUCCCAGUGGGGUUUAGUGUGAAGUGGCUCAAGAACCCAAGGGCAGCGCAUCUGAUCAGCAAAGGGACAGGAAAGCCAGCCAUCCCAUUCUUCGCCCACCACCUGCCCCACCCUGACACUCAGGCCCCUCACCCAUGCGCCCCAGCCUCUCCUUCCCAGGCCUGGCCCAGCGACCUAUCUGGGCCCUCUCGCGCCCCGACCCACAGCACACCCCCACCUGCAAGAGAAGCCCUUUUUGGACAUGAACGAUGCCACCACUGAAGCGACGAGGACUAAGACUUCUGCAGAGGACAGACCUGUCAACAGUUAAACAUGACAGAAUGUGAAUCUGCUCAUAAGGUGAUAGCGGGAGGGAAUGCGGCAUAUGGCAAGCCAUCUGCAAUACCAACGCCUUGUCGAUGAAAACCUCGCUGGCCCACAAAAAGAAGGAGAUGCUAAAUGUAGUUUUCCGGCGCAGAGCGAUUUAUCUUCAUUCUGGGCAGAAAAGGAGUUGACGGUACUGAGCAAAGAUGAACGAGCGUCACGAAGAGCCGAGGGGCUCCGUCUGUGACAGUGACGGUGGCGGCGCCCCCUCCGCACGCGCCCGGCCCCCCCCCCCCCCGCUGUUGGGUGGCCCCUGCCAGCAGCGUCCUGGGGGCCCCUUCGGUGGCUUGACUGUCUGAGUGCCUGUGCCUUAAGGGCACAGGAAGCGGGGGAAGCCAGGUGGCGUGGCCGGGGCUGGGGUGGGCUCCCCUCUGAAAUGCUCCCCGCUCUGCGCUUGUGCAGGGGUCAAAGACCCGCGGAAGCCUGGAGAGGAGUGAAAUAAUGGGGGGACACUGACGGUCCCCUUGUUUCUCAGCUGUCAGUCCACUGCCUGUCAUUCCACCUUGGGAGCUUCUGGUCUCAAGGGUCCUUAACCUGUUGGAGCCUACUUCCUCAACUGUAAAAUGGAGAUAAAUUACCUACCUGGGCAGCUGCCCUGGGCACGUAAGACCUGGGAAGACAAUGCAAAAAGUUAUUAAACCCUGGGAAGCUUACAUAUGAAUGCAAUUGUUGUUCUUAAUCUUUAAUCGGGAGCUCUGGAGCCUUGAGCCACCUCUAAUUCCAGUGAACCCUGCCCCCAGCAAGCAAGCCCAGAGUGAGGGCCUCGGCCCUUCUACCCCAGGCAGUGUCUGUGGCUCCCUUCAUUCUAAGGGGCCCUUCCAGUUCAGCUCCUGUGUUCUAAGAAUCUGACACACGCGGCCCUACAGCUGGAGGAAGGGGGGUGCCCGGGAGAUGGGGCUGUUGGGGGCCAAUGGGCAGCUGGCCUCCUGGGGACACAGCAGGGCUGAGGGCAUGGACGCAGGCAUAGCCCUGCCAGGCUCUGGGCAUGCGUCUCUGAUCCCCUCCACCUAACUGCUCCUCAGACGGUGUCCCCACCCCAGCGGAGAGGUGGCUGCCUUGGCCCCAUCAGUGGGGUCACAUAGUACAAAGCAUGGUGACUUAUGUGUGUGGAAGUCCCCCUCUUCCCCCGUGGAGUCCCUAGUUCAGAACUGCCCUCUACCCAGAUUCAGGCCAGGACCCCAGCCAUUGACUUCUUGAGUCAGAAGUGGGGGGUGGGUUCCCUCCAUCUCUACUGGGGAGGGCAUCCAUUGGCACUCAUCAGUGUCUUUUUCUCUCCACAAGUAUUCCAAGAAAUGCCUUGUUAGACGGUGGGGACGCUGCCGCCUUGCUUUCGGGCUCCUCACCUCCUACUCCUACCUGCCUCUUCUGCAGGGCCGUGGGCCCAUGGUGGCUCCCUGUCCCUCACCCAAGACUGACCGGACCCUUCCUCCAGGGGUUAAUUCUUCUGCACAGGCAGCCCCCAGGAGGCCCCUGUUCCUAUCACAUGAGAAGGACUCUGUACAGACCUGAGUCUACUCCCUGGAAGGUAGAGCCUGAGGCUGGUCAGCAUGAUUGAACUGAGCAGAUGAUGAUCUCUGAGCAUCUGCACGGGCCUUUCCUGGACAUAGAACGUGGCAUUCAUUGCUUCCUCCCGGCAACCCCAGAGGGAGGCAGAGAGAGGGGAGGGCGGCAGGGAUGAGGGGGCACAGGGACCGUGCACUGGCCAGGGCCCUCCCCUCCUUGAAGGGUAGAUAACGGUGUUCAUUCCAGAAAAGGCAGAGGGAGCGCCCUUCAUACUCAACACUUCACGUCUCAAUGGUUUUAUUACUUUCCACAUUUUAUCAACAAAGGAAGUGAGUCUACACGAUCCCCAACAUCAUCACAGAGACAGAUUUCUUAGCUAGAAGGAAUCAGAGAUAGUUCACUCCCCCCUCAUUUUACAGAUGAGAAUCAGGCCCCCAGGACAGGAGUGACUUAUGAAAGGUCACCCAGCAACGGGAGAACUCUCCCUGCCUUAGGACCUCAGCAAUGAGCAUCGGGCCGAGUGUCUUUGAUGAGGUUUUUGGGGGAUGACAGUGGGGUUCGUGGGGUCUGGAGCCACCGGCCAAGAAAGAAUUCUGGAAGACGUCUUUGGUGCAAAAAAGGCGAUUUUAUUGAAACACUGGGAGAGCACCCGGUGGGCAGGAAGAGCUGCCCCGGGGACCACAGGAGAGACUGGUUUUAUACUAUGGGGUUGGGGGUGAGGUAAAGUCCAGGGGAAGUUUCCAGUGAGAUUUUCAUAUGCUAAAGAAGACUCCCAGGAUGCUAUUGUCAAGCCAAGGUUGUUUUUCCCUCUAGCAAAUCAUUAACAUUAAGACAGGAGUUCCUGGAGAAACGUUUUACUCUGCCAGCCUCAAGUAUUUGUCAAGGGGCUGCGGGUUACAAGGAAAUUUAGUUCUAUCUGCCAUUUCCUUCUGCCUUUGUUUCUCACGUCACUAUGGAGGGGUGAUGGAGACUUAGGUCCUGCCGUUCUAGGAUCUCUAUCAGUUAACCAGUUGUUUUCACCCUUUCCUUUGUUCCUGGGCAGCCAGGAGUGCGAGGAAUAUCACACAUAUCCCACCUGGGGGUGUUGGCGAGGUGGGGGGCAGGGGUUGCAGCCUGUCAGCUUGCCUUCUGCUGCCUCAUCAGCUUCAGUAAGGAGUCGGCAGGAGAGGAAAAGCUCGUCUGGCCAACGCUGGGAAGGUAGCCCCCAGGGAUGGGCAGAUGGCCUCUGUAUUUCUGAAAACAAACCCCUUUUUAUGUUGCUAAGGGCCAAAGCUCUCUUGGGACAUAGUUUUUCUGACCCGCUGGGAGGUCGAAGAGAAAAGGGAGAAAAACUGUGGAAUUGGGGCUUGGUGUGGGGUGGGAGGCGGGGGCUCAGGUUCAGUCCCAGCCCCCAGACAGUGGACUGUGGCCCCAAACGACUGAGGAGAGCCCUCUGAAGGCCCCCAAGGCCUGUGCUCGGCUCUGCGCUGGCUAAAGUCUGCCCGGACAGCAUCCGUCUCGGGUCUGCCCCGCUGUGGGGUGGCACUGAAUCCGCACAGAUCCCGGGCCUCGAGGCACCCAGGACAUUCACAGGAGGACCCCGGGGCUCCAUAGACCCCUCUUGGGGAAGAAGCACAUCGGCUGCAGAACCCUUGGCGGCGUGUCUGGGCUGACGGGGUGGAGGAGAGGAGCACUUUUCCGCAGGCUUUGAAACGAGCAGAGUGGUUGGGGAGGACAAAGUGAGGUGAGGUAGCACGGAGCCGGCAUUCUGGGACCCUCUGGCCUCCUGCCGGCCUCACUCCUGCAGUUUCAGAUGCCCUCCCCAGAGGAGGGCCUGCCUGACGAAGGCCCAAGGUGACAGACAAGGGCACAGAAUUGCUGCCGCCCCACCCAGCACCACAACUACAAGCCCCCAUCCUAAACACAGUUCCCCCAGGAACGUCUCUCAGCCAGCUUGUCAGGUCGGACAGCCUUCCAGCCUCUCAGGUGCAGCUGGGGUCACCCUGCAGAGAGCGGGCCCUCACCCAGAAGCUCUGAGUAGCCGGGCCCCUCUCCCCGGGCUCUGCACCCAGGCUGGCAGGAGGGUACAAAAUCUUUCUCUUUGGAGCACCUGCCGGCUGCUCUGGGCCGCGGGCCAGGCCCUCUGCUACCCUCUACCCAGGCUCUUCCUGCGCUGUCUCCGAGGCCCAGCCAGGACCAAUGGGAUGAGUUCUAUUUCUGGCAGGGCUCCCUGGAAGCUCCCCGUUUUCGCCUUCCCAGCAGACCAGGAAGGCCCAAGUAGGGGUCUAGGGCUUUGCCCUCAGGACCUCAGUUGUGCAACAUGCACCCAGCCAGCCCUCCUUGGCUUCUUCCCCCUCCUACCCUACACCCUAUAGCUGUUCUCUCAAGCCUGCUCUAGGAAAAAGAAACUGGUGAUCCUACUGCUCCUUCUGAGCCCCCCAAAGCCUGCUGACCAACGCUGGCCACAGCCAUCCCUUCCCCGGCUCUCUGCCCCUCCCCCUGUGACCCUGUCCUCCCUGACCACUGUGCCUCUGUAGAAGCCGCAGGGGACAUGCCCCAGAUUCCUGACGGCCUCCCGUGGCCCCUUUUCAUGGGGUGAGGCUUCCUGUUUGGGUCUCCUUCCUCAUUUGCAGUUGCCUGUAAAUGAAAAAUCUGAACAGGUAGGAGGGAGGGGAGAAGGACUGGGCAGGGGCCGAGGAGGUGAAUUUUAAACAAUGCAGUCAUUGGGAAGAAAUUUCUCAGGCAAAGUUGGAGAUCACAUUCUCCAGUAGCAAACAUGCUCGCCCGACCCCUGGAUGUGGGAGAUUAAUGGCUGAUGAAAUGUAGCGUUAAUCUCCAAGGAUCUUGCUCGGGGAUCAUAUGAAUUGGUUGCCCUGGGUAUAGUAAUCAAGAGGAUGGCUUUACGGUACAAAUGCUUGUAUUCUUUCUUUGUUAGAAGGCACACCGCUUAAAAGGAGAGCUCUCAAAUUUCCCUUCUUUGUCUUCAAGCAUGAAGGGAACAUAAUUUGAUGCCUUUGGUAGAUCCCUUAGAACAAUGUGCCUGGGGAUAACAGUUCGUAACCUGCUCUCCCACUGCUUCUUACCCAAUCUGGACCCGUCAGGCAUCUUCAGAGAAAAUUCCCAGAAAGGGACCCAGGAAAAUUAUCCCACCCACCCACCUACCUCUGGAUGAGGCCCCCGCUGAUCUCCCAGCUGUUCCAGACAAAGUAUAAUCUUGUGCUCAAAGAUUCUCCACAGUCUUGUUUGCUCUUAACCCUCCCUCCCAGACUCUUGGACUUGGAGGGCAGCUCGCCAUCCAUCCGUCCAUCUGUCCAUCCCACAGUGCAGAACUAUUAAGUAUCCAGUGUUCAGCCUAUUAGCACUGAAGAGGGAUAGGGUCGGGAAUUUCCCAGAGGAUCCCAACUGAACAUAAUUUCAUCUAAAAAAUGUUUUUAAUGUUUCAUUAUUUUUAAGAGAGAGACAGACUGCGAGCAGGAGAGGAAGACACAGAAUCCGAAGCAGGCUCCCCGCUCUGAGCUGUCAGCACCUCAGAGCCCGACGUGGAGCUUGAACUCAUGAACCGUGAGAUCACAACCCGAGCCGAAGUCAGACGCUCAACCGACUCAGUCACCCAGGCACCCCCAUCAUUUCAUUUUUUAAAGUGAAUGGGAUAUUCCAAUAAGUCCACUGAUGGGCUUGAUCUUUUUUAAACCUUUGGGUGAGCGACUUCAGAGAGGCUGCGGGUUUGAUUUCUGUUUUCAAAUACAUGGUGACUAAUGGACACCACCCUACACUCCUGUGAAUGGAAAGGUACUUCUGGAUCAGGGUCAGGGACAGAGCCAACUACUGUCCAGACAGCCCCCACCCCAUCACCGGGAACUGGGGCCAGGUCACCAGCCUUAGAAAAAGGGACCCUGAAUGGCUGGUGGCUCAGAAGGGACAGGCUGGGACACCGGUUCAUAGGUUGUAAUCUUAUAAGAGACCAGUUUCCCAAAACCAGAACCCCAAUUAACUGUCCACAUUGAGACAUAUAACCGUCACGGGCACUGGAGUGUCCCGUUUGUCCAUCAGUGCAUUCUCCCUGCACAUUAGUGGGUGACAUGGGACAGUGAGUCCUAAUGGGAAGUUUAGGGCAGAAAUCAGAUCGGAGAGGAGGUCCUGGGAGCUGCAUUUCUGGAGUUCUCUACUGAGAAAAUACUGACACCAGGCAACACUGCUGCAAAAAGUCUUCAGCAAUGAGGCAGAGGGAGGCUUGUGGCCCCGGUAGCAUUGUGUGCCCUCAUCUGCCCAUCAUCUGAACUUUCUUCUUGUGCCUGGGGGACCCCUGGCUUCGUCCCAGGCCCCGCCAGUGGCUCACACCUCCCCAGGCUUUGAGCGGGAAGCGACAGAUGGGCAAUCUCCCCAGCGUUCAGGCCUGUCCAUCUGCUGUGCACACUGCAAGGGCUGGGGUCUUAGGGUGUCGGUGGCGUCCUCUGGGCCAGCUCUGCAGCCGAAUUUCAGAUGCCGUUCCCGGUCAAUUGCCUCCAGGCUGCAUUCUCUGGCCCUUGCAGAGUUUGAGCUUCCUGGUGUCCUUUAAUAAAUUCCAUUUCUGCUCUUAUCCACCAGUGUCAUUCUCUGUGACCUGCAAAUAACCCUGCCUGAUAGAUGACCCCUUGGUGCUGCCACCUGUCAGCUGUCCAGAGUCACACAGCCGGUAGAUGGCACCUUGGACAAGUUCCCGCUGUCUGCCCUGGGGGCUGUAGAUGGGGUGCCACGUUUACAUGUAGAGGAGGGACCCAUCCCUGCCAGACAUGCUGGCCAGAGCAGGCUUCUUGGAGACAGUGGGCCAGAAGGGUGAGUAAACUAAGUGGGUGAGAGGAAAGGGGAUGGUUUUCUGGGGGAAGAGACAUUAUACCGAGCCUGGCCUUUUGGGCAGUAGAAUCGGGAAUGGGCUCAGGAUCAGGGACAUGGCCCCUGUGCCAGUGUGUCACCUCCGGCCCCUGGCUCUGAGAUGACAGCAAUAGAAAACAGAAAAAUGAGCACUUGGCUACAAUUAAUUGCUAAGAUGCAAAGAAAAAUUGUUCUGAAUAUUAAAAUUAUAGAUAUAAUGCUAUUAGGAGCAUGAUUCAGAGUUUAUGAAAACAUUAUUUAUAUUGAUUUAUUCCCAGAGCCAUCAAGACUCCUUGAAAAUAAUUAAAGUUGACAUUUCCAUUGCUGAAGCUAAAUGUUGGUAUCAUAUAAUGAAUAUUACAUGCUUGGGAUGGGCUGUGCUGUAGAAAGCAUUAAACACCAACAUCUGGAGAUUCCCCCCUCCCCCAUUAUGAGUUGCCAGCCACCAAUGAAUGCACAGGCCUCUGGGGCUCUUCGCCUCCUGGCCCCUGGCCCAGACCCCCAGCCAUCAGCCACCCCAGGGACUCUUUAAGAGCUGAUGGGGACAUGAGAACCAAGGAUGGGGUUCAGCCAUGGCUAUGAGCCAGGGAAAAGCAAGAUCCAGACCGGAUGCCAGCCCAGCCAGGCCUUGCAGGAAGAAAGGAAGUUAGAAAGGAAGAGAGGGGUGGGGAGUAAGGAAGACAGAGAGGAUGUAUGAAGGAGUGAGAGGGAAGGAAGAUCUUCCUCCCUGCCUUGGGAAAUUCCCCACACUUCUUUUCUUAAGUGAAUUUAAAAAAAAAUUAAUAUUUGUUUAUUUUUGAGAGAGAAAGAGACAGUGUGAGUGGGGGAGGAGCAGAGAGAGAGGGAGACACAGAAUCUGAAGCAGGCUCCAGGCUGUCAGCACAGAGCCCAAUGCAGGGCUCGAACCCACGAACCGGGAGAUCAUGACCCGAGCUGAAGUCGGACGUUUAACUGACUGAGCCACCCAGGAUCCCCUCCACACUUCUAGGACCACAAAGCUGCGGCCUCCAGGCUGUCAGCUGAAUUACCAAUCUCCACUUUCCCUGAGGCAGGUCAUGGCCCGGAGGGUCCUCCUUUGUUGAUGGCUUUGUAAGAGCCCCUUGUCUCCUCUCAGGAGCCGUGCCCGGUCUCAUCACUUCACCCUCCAACUUCCAAUGGCUGGCAUCUGUUCUCUCUGCCCUCAACCCUCCACCAAGCACACAGGGCAGUUGGCCUCUCCUGUUCAGCUUUAUAAAACCCCAGAGGAGGGGAGAGAUGCCUAAGAGGAUGAGCUUCAAACAGCAAGACAGGGACCCCCUGCAAAAAGAAUUUAUCAAGGGGGCGCAGACAGCUCACAAAGGCACUGGAGGAUCCAAACGGACAAGACCAGCUGAGCUUCCCCAGAACAGCUGCCCACACCACAUUCCAGAAUGAGGCUUCUGUUUCCUCGAGAAAGUGCUGGAGCAGGAAGCUACCCGCAAAUGACCGAUCCCACGAUCGACUCUAGUGAAGUUUCCCCUUCCUCCCUCCCCUCAAAACCCAGUUCCAGGGGCGCCUGGGUGGCUCAGUUGGUUGAGCGCCCCACUUCGACUCAGGUCAAGAUCUCCUGGUUCGUGGGUUCAAGUCCCUCGUCAGGCUGUGUGCAGACAGCUCGGGGCCUAGAGCCUGCUUCACAUUCUGCGUCUCUCUCUCUCUCUCUCUGCCCCUCCCCUGCUUGUGCUCACUUGCUCUCUCAAAAAUAAAUAAAUAAACAUUAAGAAAAAAAAAAACACCGUAGUUCCAAAUCAAAGUCUCAUGGGAGUGCAUCAGAUGGCAGGAUCCUGAUCAUAUCUGGAACCCAAAGGCAUCUGGGAAAUGUAGCCUGUAGCUUCCCAGCCUCCCAGUGCAGACGGGAAAGCACAGCACAGUGUAGGAAUGGAUGUUGAAUGAGCCAACCCGCCGUGCCCACACAUUCCUUCUACCGUCUCUUCCUCCCUCAUCAGUCCUGGGGCCAUGGCGAUCUCCAGCUCCCCAUGCGCUUUGAGCAGCGGUUCUGUGUAAGGUGGUCGGGUGAUGAGAGCCAUAGGGACUGAAUGCAUCAGCCCAGCUUCUUAGUUACCACCCACAGAUAUCUCUAAGUAGUUUAAGCGGAAAGCAACUUGUCAUGGGGCGUGCGGUGAGUCAGAGUCACUGGGAGGGCCAGACAGCAAGUUUCGCAGCUGUCCACCAAGGAAUAGCAUAGUGUCCAAAAUCCCACCGUAGAAGUGGAUUCCAGGGACCCGGCUGCUGUCCCAGCAGACCAGGCGCACCAUCUUGCCCACUGUCACUGAAGACACGACACGAAAACUUCUGUCACCGUGGGCCCUGGGAUCAGACACGCCUGCAGCCACCCUCUCCGCCACAGUUUGCUCUCCUGUCGUCUCUGCUGCUUGGUAGAAUGUGGGUCAUGCUACCCAUGUGGGUAGAAUGUGGGUACAGGCCUGUACCCCUGCUGCAAGGGAGUCUGGGAAAGCAAGUGUUGGGAUUCCUUAGUGGGAGAUGGGGGCUUCUGGAAUAGGACCGUUCCCAACUUCUUAGGGUCUGGGUGGCCACAAAGAAGGUCAAACAUCACCUCCAAAGCCUAGGCCUGAUGGGGGUUAAACCAAGAAACUUGGCCGCUGGGGUGUGGGGUGGGGCCUGCUCUCUCACCUGGGCCUCUUAAAUACUCCUCCGCCUCUCCCAGCCGGGGCACACCCUCUUCCAUCUUCCUAGCUCUCCCCUGCACCCUUGUGCCAGCCUACUGCCUGGCACAUCACGGGUGUUGGCUAAACGUCUGUGAAUUGAGCUGAGCCGUCUGCGUAGUUAAUCCGCCUGGCUCCUGUCAACACAACACAGGCGUUUGCCCGGUGACGGGGCCCAGCCUGUUUUCCAUCCAGCAACUCCGUGGGGAAUGAGAAAAUCUUGCCUUUGCAAGCUUCCCGUUAACUGUGACCAUGACCUUAAAGACUGGAGAUGGUUCUGGGACACGGAUAAAGACAAGGAGCACCAGGGGAGCGGGGGAGGGAGGAGUGGCAACGUAAUACAAACAGCAGCUGGCCUUCAUCAGAUCCGGUGGGGCGGCCACGUGCACCAGCUGGAGUCAGACCGCCUCCCCCACCGACGCAGGCUUGGGCAAGGUUGUUAUCUACCCUGUGCCUCAAUUUCCUCACCCAUAUAAUGGGGAUGACAAAUGCUGGGUGAGGCUCACAUUACUGAGUGCAAGGAAAGCCUUUAGAACAGGGCCGGGCCCCAAGAGGAGGAUAGCUUUUCAGUGGAGCCUUCAGUCACGGUCACCCGGCAAGCGUCACACCUGUUUGUCAGGUGAGUUCCAUCAUUAGCACCUCCCUUGAGUUGCCUGAGGUCACACAGCUAGUGGCCGGCAGACCCAGAUUUGUCUGACUCCAGAUACUCCAGUCACCCAUAGCCCAAGAGAAAGGGGGUGAGCUCAAGCUCACCGUCCCCUUCCCCCGGACAUCCAUACCAAUGUGCCUAUGACGUGCCCGGCACCACGCUAGGGGCUAGUGGCCCCCGGGGAAUGGGCUGAAGACCACAGGAGAUGACCACAGUCCGAUAUGUAUAGUCCAGGGUGGUGAGUGAUGAGGCAGAGGUGGUCCAGGGUCCUCCCAGAGCCGACCAGGAGGCACAGGCCCAGCCUGGGCAUGUGGGAGGACUUCCUGGAGGUAAUGGCACCGGGCUGAGCUUUUGUUUAAAUUUACUUUAUUGGGGUAUAAUUUGUACAUGAUAAAAUACGCCCAUCCUAAGCAAACCGUUGGAUGAAUUUUGACAUGUGUACAUAUGUAUGUAACCACUGCCCCAGUCAGGAUAUGGAACAUUUUCAUCACCCCAGAAAGUUCCUUCAUGCCCCUUUACAGUCACUAUUUUCCCACCCCCCACGCAGAUGACCACUUUGGCUGAGCUUUAAAAGACGAGUAGAGGAAAAAAUAAAUUAAAAAGACAAGUAGGACCCAGCUAAAAAAGGGAGGUGGCAAAGUACAGAGAAGUCUAACAUCACCAUGACUGUAGGAAGCUAUAAGCGUUUCCGAGGGAGCAAGCCAGGGGAAGCCAGUGAUGUAAGAAGGGGCCUGUCAGAGAAGACAUUGUACACUUGGAAGGAGCUGGGACUCCAUUCUCGGACCAAGAAACACAAACCCAAAUGCCAAAGAAGCUUUGCAUUUCAUAAACAGGGCUCUAGCAACUGCGAGACUAAUUGAUUUAAAGGGAUAUGCCUGGUGCCUGGGAGGAUGCUGGAACGUUCUAGAGGGGAGAUAAUAAAGACAUGAACAGGGACAGUGGAGGCAGAGACAGGGAUAAGGAGGUGUAUCUGAAUUUGGGGAAGGUACAAGGAGUACAAUCAGCCCCCACCUCCUUCCCUUGCCCACAGGGCCCUGCAUUCUCCAUGAGCCCUGGUACAGGGACCUCUCCUCUGGCACAUGACCUGCCAGGCCAUCCUCGGCUCACGUAUGUGAGACACACUGGGCAGAGCGAUGCUCCUUCGCGGGGGCCAUGCUUUCUUUCCUACUUCUCAGGAGCCCCCCACACCGCUGGCAGCAUCUGGCACACGGGGAGCCCACCCCGGACAUUAACUCACUUUGGAGCAACCGCGGAAACAUAUUCGAAGCGUUCCAUGCAGCCAGUCAGAUGUGCGUGUGCCGCACACCCCCUCCGUACCGGGCUCUGACUCGGGCGCUGGGAAUAGAGCAAGGAAGACAACAGCGUCCCCGGCCAGCCCCUUCCGAGGCAGCCAGGAACAUGUCACUUACAGGUGAGCGACUUGGUGGCCCUGCCCCCCGGGAUGGGUGGAGGGGAGGUGCACACCGAGCAGAUGAUUUGUCAAACACAGAGAUGAAAGGAUAGCGGGCAGUGCUGAGGGGGACGGGGGGGGGGCAAAGUAGGGUGAAGCAGAGACAGAGAUGGCGUGAUCAGGGAUGCAGGGGCCACCUGCCUAGAAGGUGACCUGAAGGGACCAAGCUAUGGAGAAGUCUGGGAGGAGAAUGUUCCAGACAGGAGCAGACUUUCAAAGGCCCAGGGGCAGAGUGUGGCUGGUGUGGUUGAGGAACAACGAGGGGUGAGGUGAAGCAGAUCCUUAGGGCCCUGUGGUCCCUCAGGAGGACUUUGAAUGAAGACAAGAGCUACCGCGGGGGUCAGAGCCGAGGGGUGGAAUGGUCUGACCUAGGCUUGAACCAGAUCACUGUGGCUGCUGUGUGGAGGGUGGGGCUAGGGCAGCAGCAGCAAGGCCAGGCUAUUGCACUCCCCCAGGAGAGACCAGGAACAGCCGAACCAGAGGGGAAGCAGUGAGAUGGUGAGAAGCGGACGGUCCUGGCUGACGUCUUGAGGUGGCGUCUGGGAGCUCGGUGAUGGACUGGGAGUGGGGUGGAUGAGAGAAGGCAAGUACAGCUCCAGGGAUGGGGUCUGACUUGGGAGGAUGGAGCUGCCAUUUAAUGAGAUGGAGAAGCUUCAGGAAGAGCAAGGUAGGGUUUUUUUGGGCGGGGGGAGGGGGUUAGGACUGUGUGUGCAGGCACACCAGCAGCAGUUACCAUAACGGCCGGCAGGAAUGCAGUGCCCUGCACGGGAAGGUUGGUCCUGAGUACUCUGAUGCUUGAGGUCAUUUAAUCCUCUCCGCAGCCCAGGGAAGGACGUGCUGGUUUUGUCCCCUGUGGCAGGAAAAUUGCUUGAGAUACAGACUCUGCAUCCUUUCUGCCAGUUCUUGCCUCCCUACCUUUGGUCAGAGCCCAAGCUCAAAGGGGAGCUAGUUUCUGGGGGUUGGUUGGGGGGAGGCAGAGCCUCUGGUCAGGCUGUAGAGGGGCUUCGAGGUGUCCACAGCCUCCCCCAGAACCCAAAAGCAACAGGGCCCACCGCAACGAAACCAGUUACCUCCAUGGUGCAAUGAAUGGAGACACCAGACAGCUACACAAUCUUGAUGGGAGCCAAAGCAUAACUGAGGAGGCGUUCCCUUCUAGAAUAGUGAGACUGGGUAUGGAGGUCAGAUUAUCCUGGUCAUAAGUGACACAAAACCUGGCCAGAGUGGCUCAAACCCAGUGGUGUGCAGGAGCUGGUCCGCCAGCCGAGGUAGGAGUAUUUACACUUUGGGAACCAGCUAACACGACAUGUCAGGACUCUCUCUACCCCCACCCCCACCAAGCGUGUUGUUAAAGAUUUACUGGCUGACCGUACUGGGAUAUCCUAGGAUAGGACUGACUGUGGGACACCCAUCUGUCACCACCACAGCUCAGACUUUCUCUCCCCAUCAUGUUCUUCCCAGAGUGGCACGAUGGCUGCCAGUAGCUUUAGACCCUAGAAGUCCCAGGGCUUCUCUUUCCCUCAUGUCCCAGCAGAAGCCCCUUAACUGAGCUUCACGGGUCCUGCUUGGUCACAUGCUCACCCUGAACCAAUCAUAGCGACCAGGAAGAAGAAAGUGCUGCUGGGCCAGACCUGGAUCAGGAUAGAUGGUGUGUGUGUGUUUGCCUGCAGUGGGGACUCCUAUAGGAAGCCACACGCUGAGAGAGGCAAAGAGGCUGGUUCCUCAAAGAAAAGCCUGAGGGCUCUCAGUGGAGGAGUGAGUAAUGGAUGUUGGGGCAGGCGACACCCACAGGGUCUAUCACACUUGCCUUUGUAGAACAAAUUCAUAUUAAGUGGCCUAAAGUCACUCAGCCAACUCAGGAUUCAUGUCACCAAGACCCAGGCUCCUUCCAUCAUCCUGCUCCGUCCUCCCCCACCCGGGGUCAGCCAUGAUCACUACAGCUCUGGGCUCUCACCCUACCACCCAUGCAGCCAAAGGCCGAUUAAGGGGCACAGGUGCUCUGCCCUGGCAGCUUCCGGGUGUGGAGAACCCUUCCGCGGAGCCCCAGCAAGCUUCCCCUCUCAUCUCAUUGGCCAGGACUGGGUCACAUGGCCACCCCUCCACCAAUCAUUGGUUACCUGCGGGGCUGGCUCUUUAAAACUCCGCCAACUCUGGGGACCGGUCAGCAACGAGGAAGGGGGACAGUGGUCACCGGGGUCUGCCAGGGGGUUGAUUACAUAGUAGAGGGCAGUGUCCGCCACAGCGAGGCCCGGAUUAAAGAGCAGCGUCUACACACCUCCUCAGGCUCAAAGAAGAGUCAGCCACGUGCCUGCUUCCGAGCUGGGAAAGUGAGGAGUGUUGUGGGCCCCCAUAGGGUCACACUCAUCCUGGUUUGUGCAGACACCUGGUUUAUUCCUGUCGUCCCAGUGUAAUUUCUUUCUCUCUUUUUUAAAUUAAUUAAUUAAUUGAUUAAUUUAUUUAUUUAUUUAUUUUUGAGAGAGAGAGAGACAGACAGAAUGUGAACAGGGGAGGGGCAGAGAGAGAGAGAGAGGGAGACACAGAAUCUGAAGCAGGCUCCAGGCUCUGAGCUGCCAGCCCAGAGCCCGACCUGGGGCUCGAACUCACGAACUGAGAGCUCAUGACCUGAGCCGAAGUCAGACGCCCAACUGACUGAGCCACUCAGGUGCCCCGCAGUGUAAUUUCUGAUUGCACCCCCUUUCCCUGUUGGAGGGGUCCAGAAGGUGGAUGCCGGGUUCCCUGUGAGACCAGAGCAUAGGGAAGCUGAGUAGAUCUCCAGGAAGUGCCUCUGCUGGAGUUUUCCAGAGGUGUCUUCAGGUGCCCAACCAGGCAGAAGCAUGGGGCUUGGGGCUGGGGUUGAAUUCCCCACCCUGCGCUGAGAGCCUCCCCUGUCGAGGUUCCUGUGUCCUGCCCUGAGGCGUUCAGACACAGCCUGAUGAUAUCUACCCCAGACAGCUGGGGACCAGGCCCUGCCUUCCUCAAGCCUCAUUCCUGAUCCUGACGCACACGGUGCCAGCCCGCAGGCUGGGCUGGAUGUCUCGGGCCAGCACGAGGUGGAGUACAGAAGAUGGUCGGCGGCAUAAAUAUGGGGGUGUCAGAUGGCGGCAUCCAUGUCUUUGUUGGAAACACCAGAAAAGUCUUUGGGGGAGGCCGUGCAGGAGCAGUGAGCAGCAGAGAAGCUUGGGACCAUCUUUGGCAGUAUUUUCCAACUGUACCUUGCCAUCCAGGAAUGGGAGAACCAGCCUUUUGGCAGGGGUGGGGGUGG